UGGGGAAUAUUGCACAAUGGGCGCAAGCCUGAUGCAGCCAUGCCGCGUGUAUGAAGAAGGCCUUCGGGUUGUAAAGUACUUUCAGUCGGGAGGAAGGUGUCAAGGUUAAUAACCUUGGCAAUUGACGUUACCGACAGAAGAAGCACCGGCUAACUCCGUGCCAGCAGCCGCGGUAAUACGGAGGGUGCAAGCGUUAAUCGGAAUUACUGGGCGUAAAGCGCACGCAGGCGGUUGAUUGAGUCAGAUGUGAAAUCCCCGGGCUUAACCCGGGAAUUGCAUCUGAUACUGGUCAGCUAGAGUCGUGUAGAGGGGGGUAGAAUUCCAUGUGUAGCGGUGAAAUGCGUAGGGAUGUGGAGGAAUACCGGUGGCGAAGGCGGCCCCCUGGACAAAGACUGACGCUCAGGUGCGAAAGCGUGGGGAGCAAACAGG
RNAcentral lists this ribosomal RNA (429 nucleotides) under Chloroflexota bacterium. Its description in RNAcentral is "Chloroflexi bacterium partial 16S ribosomal RNA". It matches the Rfam family "Bacterial small subunit ribosomal RNA", at positions 355 to 776 of the family's 1533-position model. The record is from RNAcentral. Lineage: Bacteria; Bacillati; Chloroflexota.